GAUGAACGCUGGCGGCGUGCCUAAUACAUGCAAGUCGAGCGAACAGACGAGGAGCUUGCUCCUCCGACGUUAGCGGCGGACGGGUGAGUAACACGUAGGUAACCUACCUAUAAGACUGGGAUAACUUCGGGAAACCGGAGCUAAUACCGGAUAAUAUUUCGAACCGCAUGGUUCGAUAGUGAAAGAUGGUUUUGCUAUCACUUAUAGAUGGACCUGCGCCGUAUUAGCUAGUUGGUAAGGUAACGGCUUACCAAGGCAACGAUGCGUAGCCGACCUGAGAGGGUGAUCGGCCACACUGGAACUGAGACACGGUCCAGACUCCUACGGGAGGCAGCAGUAGGGAAUCUUCCGCAAUGGGCGAAAGCCUGACGGAGCAACGCCGCGUGAGUGAUGAAGGUCUUCGGAUCGUAAAACUCUGUUAUUAGGGAAGAACAAACGUGUAAGUAACUAUGCACGUCUUGACGGUACCUAAUCAGAAAGCCACGGCUAACUACGUG
Molecule: ribosomal RNA, 497 nt
Filed under: uncultured bacterium
Lineage: Bacteria
Description: partial 16S ribosomal RNA
Rfam family: Bacterial small subunit ribosomal RNA
Source: RNAcentral